ACGGUAGGGCCUGCUGCAGAAUACUGGUCUGAUGUAGGUGGGUAGUACGGUAGGGCCUGCUGCAGAAUACUGGUCUGAUGUAGGUGGGUAGUACGGUAGGGCCUGCUGCAGAAUACUGGUCUGAUGUAGGUGGGUAGUACGGUAGGGCCUGCUGCAGAAUACUGGUCUGAUGUAGGUGGGUAGUACGGUAGGGCCUGCUGCAGAAUACUGGUCUGAUGUAGGUGGGUAGUACGGUAGGGCCUGCUGCAGAAUACUGGUCUGAUGUAGGUUGGCUGGGCUACUAGAGGUAGAUGGGUCUGGUUGGCUGGGCUACUAGAGGUAGAUGGGUCUGGUUGGCUGGGCUACUAGAGGUAGAUGGGUCUGGUUGGCUGGGUUACUAGAGGUAGAUGGGUCUGGUUGGCUGGGAGACUAGAGGUAGAUGGCUCUGGUUGGCUGGGCUACUAGAGGUAGAUGGCUCUGGUUGGCUGGGCUACUAGAGGUAGAUGGCUCUGGUUGGCUGGGCUACUAGAGGUAGAUGGCUCUGGUUGGCUGGGCUACUAGAGGUAGAUGGGUCUGGUUGGCUGGGCUACUAGUGGUAGAUGGCUCUGGUUGGCUGGGCUACUAGAGGUAGAUGGCUCUGGUUGGCUGGGCUACUAGAGGUAGAUGGCUCUGGUUGGCUGGGCUAUCUCUCUAUUUUCUCUCUCUCGCUAACUCUCUCUGUUCUCUCUUUGUAUUUCUCUUUGUAUUUCUCUUUGUAUCUCUCUUUGUAUCUCUCUAUUUUCUCUCUCUCGCUAACUCUCUCUGUUCUCUCUUACUAUCUCUCUUUCUAUCUCUUUGUUGUCUCUUUGUUCUCUCUUACUAUCUCUCUUUCUAUCUCUUUGUUGUCUCUUUGUUCUCUCUUACUAUCUCUCUGGUUUCUCUUAUCACUUUAUAUCUAGACUUUGAAUGAUGAAUUGAAAUGGAAUGGACUUCUUGAUAACUACAAAAGGACAAAAGCAGCAGGUAAUAAAGUGAGGGAACUAGAAGGUAAAUGACCCCAACUCAUGUAAAAGUUAUUCAUAGAGUUCAAUAUGUA
This 1054-nucleotide long non-coding RNA is filed under the name Salmo salar (Atlantic salmon). RNAcentral describes it as "lncRNA (ENSSSAG00000083349.1, ENSSSAG00000117651.1)". Lineage: Eukaryota; Metazoa; Chordata; Actinopteri; Salmoniformes; Salmonidae. The record is from RNAcentral.